GGAGGAUAUGCGAAUGGUGAGCGGGCUGACUCGAAAUCAGUUGCCGGGAGACCGGUUGAGGGUUCGAAUCCCUUGUCCUCCGC
RNAcentral lists this transfer RNA (83 nucleotides) under Planctomycetales bacterium. RNAcentral describes it as "tRNA-Ser". It matches the Rfam family "tRNA". Rfam says of the family: Transfer RNA (tRNA) molecules are approximately 80 nucleotides in length. Their secondary structure includes four short double-helical elements and three loops (D, anti-codon, and T loops). The record is from RNAcentral. Lineage: Bacteria; Pseudomonadati; Planctomycetota; Planctomycetia; Planctomycetales.